This 414-nucleotide ribosomal RNA is filed under the name uncultured Funneliformis. RNAcentral describes it as "partial 28S ribosomal RNA". Lineage: Eukaryota; Fungi; Glomeromycota; Glomeromycetes; Glomerales; Glomeraceae. The record is from RNAcentral.
GAGAGUUAAACAGUACGUGAAAUUGUUGAAAGGGAAACGAUUGAAGUCAGUCAUACCAACGGGAAAUCAACCUCUUGAGUUUGGUCUCGUGGGUUUCGAAGAGUUUAAAGGCCUUCGGAUUUUCGAGAUUGGGUUCUUCUGGUGUACUUUCUCGUACGGUUAGUCAACAUCGGUUUUGAAUGUCAUAAAAUGACUGGAGGAAUGUGGCUUCGAUCUCGUAUUGAAGUGUUAUAGCUUUUGGUAGAUGUGAUGUUCGAGGCCGAGGAUUGCAACGGAUACCCUUCUGGGCUAUUCGUCUGAUCUCUGAAACGUUGCCUUGAUGUCGAAAGCUUGCUUAUGAUGUUAGGGUAUUACGAUCAAAAGGUUAGAACGGAUUAAAUUCGUUAAGGAUGUUGACGUAAUGACUUUAAACGA